Molecule: long non-coding RNA, 348 nt
Organism: Onychostruthus taczanowskii (white-rumped snowfinch)
Lineage: Eukaryota; Metazoa; Chordata; Aves; Passeriformes; Passeridae
Exons: 3
Source: RefSeq, a predicted model, not a curated record
CCCCGCAGCUGCACGUGGCCGCUGCCAACGGGUACCGCGCGGCGGCCGAGCUGCUGCUGGAGCACCGCGCCCGCCCCGACGCCCGCGACGCCGACGGCUGGCAGCCGCUGCACGCCGCGGCCUGCUGGGGACAGGUGCAGCUGGCCGAGCUGCUGGUGGCUCACGGCGCCGACCUCGGCGCCAAGGCGCUGCUGGACGAGACUCCCCUGGAUGUGUGCGGGGACGAGGAGGUGAGGGCCAAGCUGCUGGAGCUGAAGCACAAGCGGGCGGCCGUGCUGAAAUCCCAGGAGAAGCACAAAUCCCUGCUGCAGAGGAGAACGUCCAGCGCCGGCAGCCGCGGGUGAGAGG